Non-coding RNA from Pimephales promelas (fathead minnow), 347 nucleotides. The record is from RefSeq and is a predicted model, not a curated record. Lineage: Eukaryota; Metazoa; Chordata; Actinopteri; Cypriniformes; Leuciscidae.
UAUGUUAUAUUCUUAAUUUGUUUAUUAGUUUAUUAUAUAUUUGGAGGUUUGCUUUGUAACUUUUAGUUAUUUAACCUAUAGAGACCUUUAUUUUGAAAGGCGGCUUGCCGGAAAUGCGAACAGAUCGCUCGCGCGCAGGAAGCGCGCAUAUACGGAGAUUGCAGACAGACGGAGACACGGAACCAUGCGGUCACGGAUUCACACAUCUGAAUAAUACACCUGGUUGGAAAGGAGUACAAGCUCUUACGGUGUUGUGAAGGUGUUGUGAAGGCAAUGUGAAGGUGUAACGGACAAUAAACAGACAACAUCAGUGAGAGAGCGACUUUUCUUUAUUCAACCGGGCUGCU